AUGGGAGGGGCAUCGUUGCUUCAACCACCUCGGGACAUGAAGAAACGGGCGGUCAGCACCAAAGUCUUGGGUGACGUCUUGUCCGGGCAAUCCAUGAAAAUCACCAAGGCAGCGUCCAAUUCAGAUGUUCCUCGGAUUGUCGAACGAGAGCUGAUGGUCAAUCUGAUCUCCAUGAUGCUGUCACCAGAAGGCACGACGGCUCCUGAGAUAAUAACUAACCUGCCGAAGCAUGCCAACCCGGUCUACCGCCCACCCGAGGAGAUGGAGGAGGUCGUUGUGUUGACCGCAAUGUUGUCAUUGAAGAUCCUUCUGCUAGCUCGGCGGUGGGAGGUGAUGAAGACGUGGACCUGGCGCAUAGGGCUCGGGAUAAUGAAAUACUCCCUCUGUUUUAAAAUAGAUGACUCAACUUUGUAUUAA
RNAcentral lists this ribosomal RNA (417 nucleotides) under Triticum aestivum (bread wheat). Its description in RNAcentral is "partial small subunit ribosomal RNA". The record is from RNAcentral. Lineage: Eukaryota; Viridiplantae; Streptophyta; Magnoliopsida; Poales; Poaceae.